Molecule: long non-coding RNA, 579 nt
Filed under: Daucus carota (carrot)
Lineage: Eukaryota; Viridiplantae; Streptophyta; Magnoliopsida; Apiales; Apiaceae
Description: long non-coding RNA (DCAR_LNC002187)
Source: RNAcentral
UUGAGAAGUACAGUUCAUAAAUAAUUCAUAUAUUAAAUUAUUGUUCGCUAUGGGUCUGCGAGAGGAUGAUCAUAGUUAUAAGAGGAGUGUGCUGUUACUCCUUAUUUUGAUUGGUUCAGUUGUUAACCAAGUGAAAGCAGCAGAAGAUUAUGGAGAUCCUGAAGGGCCAUUUGAUAUAGGGCCUUGGAAACCCAAAGAAAAUAAAAAAUUAACAGAUUGCACAAAUGCAUGUAAGAAGAAGUAUAAUGCCUGUGUGAAGGGGAAUUGUCCAAAAACAGAAAUGAACAAUUUAGAAGUUUGUGUGAAGGCCUGUGCGUUCAAAACAAUUGAGGGAUGAUUUAAAUCCAUCUUCUUUCUAGAAACAAGCGAAUGAGGAAUAAAAUUGUUUACUUAAUAUAAUUGUCUGAUGCAAUUUUCUAGGCUACAGUUUUAAAAAUAUUGUUAGUUUCAUGCUUUAGACAAUACAUUUUGUAGUAUGAAAAUAAACUCUUGUAUAUCAUUUUUGGACAACAAUUUUCAUCCUCGCUGUUGUCUGAUGAAUGUUGUUUGAUUAUGUUUUCCUUAUAAUACAAGGAGGUA